Molecule: ribosomal RNA, 497 nt
Filed under: uncultured bacterium
Lineage: Bacteria
Description: partial 16S ribosomal RNA
Rfam family: Bacterial small subunit ribosomal RNA
Source: RNAcentral
GAUGAACGCUGGCGGCGUGCCUAAUACAUGCAAGUCGAGCGAACGGACGAGAAGCUUGCUUCUCUGAUGUUAGCGGCGGACGGGUGAGUAACACGUGGAUAACCUACCUAUAAGACUGGGAUAACUUCGGGAAACCGGAUCUAAUACCGGAUGAUAUUUUGAACCGCAUGGUUCAAAAGUGAAAGACGGUCUUGCUGUCACUUAUAGAUGGAUCCGCGCUGCAUUAGCUAGUUGGUAAGGUAACGGCUUACCAAGGCAACGAUGCAUAGCCGACCUGAGAGGGUGAUCGGCCACACUGGAACUGAGACACGGUCCAGACUCCUACGGGAGGCAGCAGUAGGGAAUCUUCCGCAAUGGGCGAAAGCCUGACGGAGCAACGCCGCGUGAGUGAUGAAGGUCUUCGGAUCGUAAAACUCUGUUAUUAGGGAAGAACAUAUGUGUAAGUAACUGUGCAUAUCUUGACGGUACCUAAUCAGAAAGCCACGGCUAACUACGUG